Molecule: ribosomal RNA, 705 nt
Filed under: Triticum aestivum (bread wheat)
Lineage: Eukaryota; Viridiplantae; Streptophyta; Magnoliopsida; Poales; Poaceae
Description: partial small subunit ribosomal RNA
Source: RNAcentral
AUGGCAACGGGAGGAUCGCAUUUUAACGGACACCGGGCGCCGAGGCUGUUUGGCAGGGAAAGGCCCGUCCAUGCCGCCCUCGGUGGACGCGAAGCGGCGGACAUCAUCCUGUGGAGGAGGCCCAAGGUUUCGGCGUCGAUCCUCGGCGCGGCGACGGCGGCGUGGGCUCUGUUCGAGGUGGCGGAGUACCACUUCCUGACGCUGGCGUGCUACGCCGCCAUGAUCGCCAUGCUCACCUUCUUCAUCUGGACCAACGCCUCCGCUUUCAUGAACCUGCCGGUUCCAAGGAUCCCUGAGACGAUCCUGUCGGAGAGGACGGCGAAGCAGGUGAUCCUGGGCCUGCACCGGAGGCUCACCUGGUUCGUGCACCGGCUGUACGCCAUCGCCUGCGGGGAGGACAUCAAGAAGUUCAUCAUGACGGUGGUGUCCCUGUACAUCGCGUCGGUCGUCGCGACCUGCUUCAGCUCCCUCACCCUGCUCUACCUCGUUGUGCUGUGCACGAUGACGGUGCCGGCGCUGUACGAGCGGUACGAGCACGAGGUGGACCACCUGGUGGCCACGGGGGCGCGCGACGUCCGUACCCACUUCGCCAAGAUGGACUCCGGCGUGCUCAGGAAGAUCCCCAGGGGCAAAGGUGCCACCACCGCCGCACACGGGACGACGGCCAACAACGUGCACGGGUGGCAUCGCUCACACGUCAACUAA